RNAcentral lists this long non-coding RNA (586 nucleotides) under Mustela putorius furo (domestic ferret). RNAcentral's name for it is "lncRNA (ENSMPUG00000028902.1)". The record is from RNAcentral. Lineage: Eukaryota; Metazoa; Chordata; Mammalia; Carnivora; Mustelidae.
CUCCUCACCAGGCACACUCACAUGCUUGUGUUUUCUUCCUUCAGCUGAAUGACCCUGGUAACGCGUCUUCAUGUCCUGCGGUCCAGCGCGUGCAUACCCGUCACAACUGGCCCAUGGGGCCCGCUGGAGCCGGCCAUCCGAGAAGCUGAGUCUGAAACCACAAGUGGCAUCUGACCCUGCCCUGAGCCAGGCCGGCUCUAACAGCUGGGGGCACAGCACGGGACCCACGGACAGAAACCCCUGCUGGCCAGAGCCUCUGCUCUAGAGCGGAAGCCCUACAAUGCAGAGAGAGCGCAACAGGCAAGCACAGCAGCUACCACCCUGACCCUGGGCUGCCGCCCCACAGCCUCCUGUGACAGCGACAACCAAAGCCCCAGGUGAGCAUGGAGGAACUGCAGGGGAGCUCAGCAUCCCUGUCCUGGCAGAGAAGGCUUCUAGGUAAGGAGUUUCAAGCUACGGGAUCAUAGGGCUACUCCCACUUCUCGGCAGCAUCCCAUCGAAGGCAAAGCCCCGCUUCCUCGGGCCCUGAUUGUUAAACACCAGGCCCAGCUCUCUAGCUCAGAGGCCCAGCAUGUCCCGCGCUCUG